AUCCCAUGAUGAGGACAAGCGGCCACAUACUCCUGCAGUCGUUCUAAUGCUUCGGGAAUAGACUCGUCCCUUCUCUGCUGGAAAUUGGGAAUCCUUCCACGAAGGGC
Oryza nivara is the source of this 107-nucleotide non-coding RNA. The record is from Rfam. Lineage: Eukaryota; Viridiplantae; Streptophyta; Magnoliopsida; Poales; Poaceae.